Molecule: ribosomal RNA, 497 nt
Filed under: uncultured bacterium
Lineage: Bacteria
Description: partial 16S ribosomal RNA
Rfam family: Bacterial small subunit ribosomal RNA
Source: RNAcentral
GAUGAACGCUGGCGGCGUGCCUAAUACAUGCAAGUCGAGCGAACGGACGAGAAGCUUGCUUCUCUGAUGUUAGCGGCGGACGGGUGAGUAACACGUGUAUAACCUACCUAUAAGACUGGGAUAACUUCGGGAAACCGUAGCUAAUACCGGAUAAUAUUUUGAACCGCAUGGUUCAAAAGUGAAAGACGGUCUUGCUGUCACUUAUAGAUGGAUCCGCGCUGCAUUAGCUAGUUGGUAAGGUAACGGCUUACCAAGGCAACGAUGCAUAGCCGACCUGAGAGGGUGAUCGGCCACACUGGAACUGAGACACGGUCCAGACUCCUACGGGAGGCAGCAGUAGGGAAUCUUCCGCAAUGGGCGAAAGCCUGACGGAGCAACGCCGCGUGAGUGAUGAAGGUCUUCGGAUCGUAAAACUCUGUUAUUAGGGAAGAACAGAUGUGUAAGUAAAUGUGCACAUCUUGACGGUACCUAAUCAGAAAGCCACGGCUAACUACGUG